Molecule: long non-coding RNA, 2940 nt
Filed under: Octopus vulgaris (common octopus)
Lineage: Eukaryota; Metazoa; Mollusca; Cephalopoda; Octopoda; Octopodidae
Source: RNAcentral
UGUAUAUGUAUAUAUACACAUAUGUACAUAUGCGCCUGCGUACUUUGACCGGAACCGAAAGCUCCGGCAAUGGCGUCCGAGCUACAUUGUUGUCAGUCUAGGAAUGACUUGUAACAGUAAUGAAGCCAUGGAAUAUUUCACUCUACUCACUAUUUUCAACUGUACACGGGAUUAAAAAAAAAAGUGAAAGAUAAUUAUACACCUCAGAAAACGUAAAUUUUAUUUUUUAUUUAUUUUCUUUCAUUCUUAUAUAUAUUUUUUUUGUUAUUUUGAAAUAUUUUCCUACAGAAAAUAUAUAUGUAUAGAGAAAGAAGAAAAUAUUUAAUGAACAAUUAAGGAUUGUUUAAGAAAUUAUUGUUCUCAUGUAAAUUUUUAUUUUAUUAUCAUUGAUCGUUUUUUUUUUUUAACAAAAGCGAAAUAAUAUCAAUUUUGUUUUUAUGACUAUUUCUAGAUUAAUUGCAUGUGUUUACAUUUUUACUCUACUUCUAAAACAUCUAAAAUGUUUAUUCUUUUAACACACCUUCCUUUCUCCUCUUCUCUCCGUUUUGUGUUUCACUUUCGUUACAGAAUUGCACUUAAUUUCUCCUACUUUUUGGACUUGUAUUUCUGUAUUUGAUUUAAUUUCCAAAAAUAUUUUUCGGUUUUAAUUACUAAACCAUAAUGCAACCAAUAUGCCGUUUUAAGUACAAGUUUUAUUGAACGUUAAACAUUUAAUAUUUCUGAUAAUUUUUUUUUCAACAAAUUUUAUUGUAAAAAAAAAAAAUACUCGCAGAAAAAAACAUAAUCAACAAUGCAAAAUAUUUUCACUCAUUCGAGUGCGUCAAGUCUACUUUAAAAAAUUUUUUGUCAAAAUCUAAAAUUUGUAUCAUAAUUGUUAAAUAGAUAUCCAUCAAGAAAAGCUCAUUUUCAUAUGUAAAACACAAGUGCAUAAGAUAUCUUGUACUUUGUUUUCGUUUUAGGUUUUGCGACUAAAUCUGCCAUUUUCUCAUUCUUCAAUGCAUUCCUUGUUUGUUUUCAUUGUUUCCCUCUCUCCACUUUCGACUACUUUUUCUAUCUCUGUCUCUCCUUUCUCUAUCAACAUUGUCUGAUCGAUCAAGGCUGACCUGAGAUUACACAACAUGACAUGUACAAUUUCUAGAUGCACACACACACACACGGCUUCCUCUACAAAAAAGCUCCAGUUGCCCUUUGACAUCUCAUCCCCUUGACAUGUAAAGGCGGUUGCUUGUAAGCAAACCAAUGUUACAUUUGUUUAUACGUUUUUAUAUAUUCUUUGUUGGUAUCACAACCUCCGCUGUAACGUGUAUAUACAAUUAUUUGAUAUCAGUAAUUUCUUCUUACUCUCUUUUGUGUUCAAAUUCCACUAGAAUCGAUGUUAUUUCAAAGGGUGAAAGCAGUAAUGAAGUCGAUUGAGUCAACUUUGUCCACCACUACCCUAUAAAGUUGUAGUUUUGUGUCAAUACAUCAAACAUUGUAUUAUAUGGAAGAUUUUUUUUCUUCCUUAUUUCGUUCCUCACUGAACAUCCCUGGACGAUUCCAGUUGCAUAUUGAUAUUUCUGGGAAGAGGUUGCUGUUUCUGGAGAGAAGGAUGUAUGAGAGGUACCCCACGAUCCUUUCUUACGGCGCAACGUAGCCAAUUCAGAGAGAAAGCUAAAAAAAAGAAUCAACCCUCGUACUUGAUUGGGGUUUUAUUUAUCAACCCCAAAAGAAUGGAAGACAAAUUUGACUUCUAGGGGAUUUGAAUUCACAGCUCGGAGACCGGUAACAAAUACCGCAAGACAUUUUAUUCGAUACUCUAAUAAUAUUUGCCAAUUCGCCACCCUAGAUAUAUGUCUAAAACAUUGUUACAAGGCCACAAAUUUGCAAGAAAGGUGAUAAUUGACUGAAUUUCAUGCCCUCAGACAAAUAUAUUAGUGUUACUUAUUGAUCGACCUCAGAAAGCUGAAAGCAAUGUCAAUUUUAGCAUGCAUGGCUCGAAUAUGAAACGUAAACAGACGUUAUGGCCUUGCACUUUACUGUAUCAACUACUAUUAGAAUUUUGGGCUCAUAAUCUAGUAUUGUUUGAUCUCAAUAUAAACAGAUUUUGACACAGUCUUAACAGUAGUGGCAGCCGGUUAAUAUCUAGUGGCAACCGUUUUCCUAAAUACGUGAAUUUUUUGAAAAAAACCCCAAACAAACUGGAAGUCAAAUCUCAGUAACCAAAAUAUCUUUUUGAAUAAACAUAAAGCCUUAGGUAUUUAGAGGAAGAGGUUUGAACAAUUGUCAAACGAUCAUCCCUUUAUGGGACGGGCACUUUUGAAAGUACGUCAAGUGGAAUGGUAGGAAAUGAUUCGAAACCGGGUCGCAUACUCGGCGCACAGGGUUGACUCACUGCUAAUUUACCUUUUCACCCUACAGCACUUGCCUUAUUUCUGUGUUAGCAAUAUUGACAGAAACUGAGUCAAUAAUAUAGCUAGGAGUGGUACUAUGUAUUUCACCAACCAAACAUUCUUUAGAGAAACCUUAUCUUCUCGAAUGUUACACGUCAGUUUUUCUAUUAAUCAAUUGAAAUGUGGACAUAUUUAUAAACAACUUUAUCUACACACAUUUUCAAUCUUAAACUGAUCAGCUUAGGACAGAAGCGUUAUUUCUCAUUGCACAUUGCUUUAGAUAAAAGAAAAACUUCUCGCAAGGACUGACGUUUGCUGAUAAGUACAACACAGUUGUUACCUGCAGGUUUUAAAAGAGCCAUGCUGUUAUUCUCAUUAUGAUAUUACCUAUCUGAACGUAAGAUGAUCUUCAGGAUUCAUGUGGAGGGUGAAAAUGGAAGGUAACCCCCAAAUUAGCUAUAAAUAAAUGUAAGGCUCUGUUUGAAUUCUUCAAAUAUUUCGGAGUAGGAGAUGUUAAAAAAUACUAUACCCCACGAUUAAUGCUAAUACCAAGAAUUAAAUUCGCAAUUUC